This 770-nucleotide ribosomal RNA is filed under the name uncultured Lentisphaerota bacterium. RNAcentral describes it as "bacterial SSU rRNA". It matches the Rfam family "Bacterial small subunit ribosomal RNA", at positions 1 to 799 of the family's 1533-position model. The record is from RNAcentral. Lineage: Bacteria; Pseudomonadati; Lentisphaerota.
AGGAGAGUUUGAUCCUGGCUCAGAACGAACGCUGGCGGCAUGGAUUAGGCAUGCAAGUCGAACGGGAGCAGCAAUGCUCCAGUGGCGCAAGGGUGAGGAACACGUGAACAACCUGCCUUCGAGUUGGGGAUAGCUUCUGGAAACGGGAGAUAAUACCGAAUAACAUCAAUUAGUCGCAUGACUUUUUGAUCAAAGCAGCAAUGCGCUUGAAGAGGGGUUCGCGUCCCAUUAGCUAGUUGGUGAGGUAACGGCCCACCAAGGCGAUGAUGGGUAGCUGGUCUGAGAGGACGAUCAGCCACAUUGGGACUGAGAUACUGCCCAGACUCCUACGGGAGGCUGCAGUCGAGAAUUUUGGGCAAUGGACGAAAGUCUGACCCAGCAAUGCCGCGUGCGGGAUGAAGGUCUUCGGAUUGUAAACCGCUGUCAAGAGGGACGAAAUUUGACGGUACCUCUGGAGGAAGCCACGGCUAACUACGUGCCAGCAGCCGCGGUAAUACGUAGGUGGCGAGCGUUGUUCGGAUUUAUUGGGCGUAAAGGGUCCGCAGGUGGUUGGGUAAGUUUGACGUGAAAUCCCAGAGCUCAACUCUGGAACUGCGUUGAAAACUGCCUGACUGGAGUAUCGGAGAGGAGAUUGGAAUUCCAGGUGUAGCGGUGGAAUGCGUAGAUAUCUGGAAGAACACCGAAAGCGAAGGCAGAUCUCUGGACGAUAACUGACACUCAGGGACGAAAGUAUGGGGAUCAAACAGGAUUAGAUACCCUGGUAGUCCCCU